CUGAUAAUAUAUUAAAGGGCUGCAGUAUUUUGACUGUACAAAGGUAGCAUAAUCAAUAGUCUUUUAAUUGAUGACUUGUAUGAAGGAUUGGAUGAAAUAUAUACUGUCUCUUAAUUAUAUUAAGAAUUUAAUUUUUUAAUUAAAAAGUUAAAAUAAAUUUAAAAGACGAGAAGACCCUAUAGAGUUUUAUAUUUAGUUUUAUUGAAUUUAUUUUUUAGAUUAUUAAUUAAAAUAAAUUUUAAAUAUUUUAUUGGGGUGAUGGAAAAAUUUAAUUAACUUUUUUUAUUAAAAAUUCAUUGAUUUAUGAUUGUUUUGAUCCAAAAAUUUUGAUUAUAAGAAAAAAUUACCUUAGGGAUAACAGCGUAAUUUUUUUUUUUAGUUCAAAUAAAAAAAAGAGUUUGCGACCUCGAUGUUGGAUUAAGAUAUAAUUUAUAUGCAAAAGUAUAAAAUUUUGAUC
RNAcentral lists this ribosomal RNA (457 nucleotides) under Eumorphobotys concavuncus. RNAcentral describes it as "partial large subunit ribosomal RNA". Lineage: Eukaryota; Metazoa; Arthropoda; Insecta; Lepidoptera; Crambidae. The record is from RNAcentral.